RNAcentral lists this ribosomal RNA (403 nucleotides) under uncultured bacterium. Its description in RNAcentral is "partial 16S ribosomal RNA". It matches the Rfam family "Bacterial small subunit ribosomal RNA", at positions 29 to 526 of the family's 1533-position model. The record is from RNAcentral.
AUUGAACGCUGGCGGCAGGCCUAACACAUGCAAGUCGAGCGAGCGGCGGACGGGUGAGUAAUGUAUGGGGACUGCCCGAUAGAGGGGGAUAACUACUGGAAACGGUGGCUAAUACCGCAUACUAUCGGAUAACCCAUAUGGGAUUGGCUAGUAGGUGGGGUAAAGGCUCACCUAGGCGACGAUCCCUAGCUGGUCUGAGAGGAUGAUCAGCCACACGGGAACGGAGACACGGCCCAGACUCCUACGGAGGCAGCAGUGGGGAAUAGUGCACAAGGGGCGCAAGCCUGAUGCAGCCAUGCCGCGUGUAUGAAGAAGGCCUUAGGGUUGUAAAGCACUUUCAGCGAGGAGGCGUUACUCGCAGAAGAAGCACCGGCUAACUCCGUGCCAGCAGCCGCGGUAAUUC